GUAUAUGUAUCCUCAUACAGGGAGGGUUGCUCGUCCAGGUCAGAGGUCGUAUACGUAUAGAUUUUGCGCCGAACCUGUCAAAACUAAACAGUAUAUGUUUCUCAUCAGUGGCAUUGACCAGAUUUGUGUUGACAGUCUGCAAAUACAAAAGCCAAAGAGCGCCACUCCGAGACAAAUCAGUGUUCCACUGCCAUCAGACGCUUGUAUGGGUCUGAAGCGAAUGGCGUCCGUCACUAUUGGUCCACCCAGUCGGAACAAGGCUACUGGCUCAGUUUGAUUGAAAUACUGCAUAUUAACCAAAGAGCGCCACUCCGAGACAAAUGUAAUGGAACACCUGUCUUCCACUGUCAUCGGACCAUUGUAUGGGCCUGAAGCGAAUGGCGUCCGUCACUAUUGGUCUACCCAGUCGGAACAAGGCUACUGGCUCAGUUUGAUUGAAAUACUGCAUCAACCAAACAGAGCCACUCCGAGACAAAUCAGUGUUCCACUGCCAUCAGACGCUUGUAUGGGUCUGAAGCGAAUGGCGUCCGUCACUAUUGGUCUACCCAGUCGGAACAAGGCUACUGGCUCAGUUUGAUUGAAAU
Molecule: long non-coding RNA, 584 nt
Organism: Halichondria panicea
Lineage: Eukaryota; Metazoa; Porifera; Demospongiae; Suberitida; Halichondriidae
Exons: 4
Source: RefSeq, a predicted model, not a curated record